This is a non-coding RNA of Kockiozyma suomiensis, 97 nucleotides long. The record is from the annotation of a GenBank genome assembly. NCBI's taxonomy places the organism in Eukaryota, Fungi, Ascomycota, Lipomycetes, Lipomycetales, Lipomycetaceae.
GACAGCUUGGCCGAGUGGUUAAGGCGUUUGACUUGAAUUUUAAUUCGAGUUCAUCAAAUGCGGUUCCCGCGCGUAGGUUCGAAUCCUGCAGCUGUCG